Molecule: long non-coding RNA, 988 nt
Organism: Ictalurus punctatus (channel catfish)
Lineage: Eukaryota; Metazoa; Chordata; Actinopteri; Siluriformes; Ictaluridae
Source: Ensembl
GCCAGAGUUACAUCUCAAGCCUGUUUGACCCGAAGCCAAGGGAGAGACAAUGGAUUAAGUUCAUGAUGUCCCAAUUUUUUGGCCCAGCUCGCAAGUGGGCACAACGAGUAGCAGCCAUGAGACCCCGGUUACUGGAGGACAGUAGGCAGUUUUCGGACUUGUUUCUGAGGGAGUUUGGAGAACCAGGGCAGAGCUACAACUUGGAUGAACUGUUGAAGGGUGUUAAUGUGGCGAACAGUGCUGAUCUUCCAUUCCAUAUGCAUUAUGAGCGGAUGAGCCACCAAGUUGAUGUUAACACGGACAACCAAGUCCCUGAGGUCCAAGUCCAAGUCAAGCCUCAAGUCCCUGAGGUCCAAGUCAAGCCUCAAGUCCCUGAGGUCCAAGUCAAGUCUCAAGCUUCUGAAGUCCAAGUCAAGUCUCAAGCUUCUGAAGUCCAAGUCAAGGCUCCAGUCUCGGAAGUCCAAGUCAAGUCUCAAGUUCCUGAUGUCACGCCCAAGUCUACCGACCCGGGCGCCCAAGUUCAGCCCACGCCCAAGUUCAGCCCACGCCCAAGUUCAGCCCACGCCCAAGACUACCGACCCGGUCGCCCAAGUUCAGCCCACGCCCAAGACUACCGUCACGACCACCCAAGUUCUGCCAAAGCCCUUUGGGGGGAGGAGUGCCCUUGCGGGGGGGUUCUGUCACGAGUUCCCCUUUAAGCAGCGCGCUGUGGAGCAUGUGAGCGCGUGUGCAUGAGCACCUGCUUUUCCCUUGUGGACAAUCGUGACAUUUCGACUCGUGCAUUUGUUUAUGUUUCUGUCAUGUCUCCUCCCCGUUCUGUCAUUGGUUGUAGUCUCACGUGUGUCUGAAUCGUCCUCAGCCAUCAGCCAUUACGAGGCUGAUUAGCUCCGCAUAUAUACCGCGUGCCUCCCAGCACACAACGCGGAAUGUUGAAUGAGUUAGAUAGUCGAUUAGUUUAGAGUCCUUACGAUAGAUAACCACAGUUAUA